CCCUUAGAUGUUCUGGGCCGCACGCGCGCUACACUGACGAAUGCAACGAGCUUAUAACCUUGUCCGAAAGGUCUGGGUAAUCUCCAAAUUUCGUCGUGAUGGGGAUAGAUUAUUGCAAUUAUUAAUCUUCAACGAGGAAUGCCUAGUAAGCGCAAGUCAUCAGCUUGCGUUGAUUACGUCCCUGCCCUUUGUACACACCGCCCGUCGCUCCUACCGAUUGAAUGGUCCGGUGAAGCGUUCGGACCGUGGCCUUUGGACGGGCAACCGUCUGUUGGUCGUGGGAAGUUCGUUAAACCUUAUCAUUUAGAGGAAGGAGAAGUCGUAACA
This 327-nucleotide ribosomal RNA is filed under the name uncultured eukaryote. Its description in RNAcentral is "partial 18S ribosomal RNA". It matches the Rfam family "Eukaryotic small subunit ribosomal RNA", at positions 1470 to 1796 of the family's 1831-position model. The record is from RNAcentral.